GCUCUUGUAGUUUAAUGGUAAAAAUGCCUCUCUAUUGAAGAGGAGUUCUGAGUUCAAAUCUCAGCGGGAGCA
This is a non-coding RNA of Ruditapes philippinarum (Manila clam), 72 nucleotides long. NCBI's taxonomy places the organism in Eukaryota, Metazoa, Mollusca, Bivalvia, Venerida, Veneridae. The record is from the annotation of a RefSeq genome assembly.